This 253-nucleotide ribosomal RNA is filed under the name uncultured bacterium. Its description in RNAcentral is "partial 16S ribosomal RNA". It matches the Rfam family "Bacterial small subunit ribosomal RNA", at positions 524 to 776 of the family's 1533-position model. The record is from RNAcentral.
GACGAACCGUGCAAACGUUGUUCGGAAUCACUGGGCUUAAAGGGCGCGUAGGCGGACCGCAAAGUCAGGGGUGAAAUCCUCCAGCUUAACUGGAGAACUGCCUCUGAUACUGGCGGUCUCGAGUAAGGUAGGGGCGUGCGGAACUGAUGGUGGAGCGGUGAAAUGUGUUGAUAUCAUCAGGAACUCCGGUGGCGAAAGCGGCACGCUGGACCUUCACUGACGCUGAGGCGCGAAAGCCAGGGGAGCAAACGGG